RNAcentral lists this ribosomal RNA (275 nucleotides) under uncultured Staphylococcus sp. RNAcentral describes it as "partial 16S ribosomal RNA". It matches the Rfam family "Bacterial small subunit ribosomal RNA", at positions 89 to 356 of the family's 1533-position model. The record is from RNAcentral. Lineage: Bacteria; Bacillati; Bacillota; Bacilli; Caryophanales; Staphylococcaceae.
ACGUUAGCGGCGGACGGGUGAGUAACACGUGGGUAACCUACCUAUAAGACUGGGAUAACUUCGGGAAACCGGAGCUAAUACCGGAUAAUAUUUCGAACCGCAUGGUUCGAUAGUGAAAGGUGGUUUUGCUAUCACUUAUAGAUGGACCCGCGCCGUAUUAGCUAGUUGGUAAGGUAACGGCUUACCAAGGCGACGAUACGUAGCCGACCUGAGAGGGUCGAUCGGCCACACUUGGAACUGAGACACGGUCCAGACUCCUACGGGAGGCAGCAGCG